Molecule: ribosomal RNA, 914 nt
Filed under: uncultured organism
Description: bacterial SSU rRNA
Rfam family: Bacterial small subunit ribosomal RNA
Source: RNAcentral
GGGGUAACAUUGGUGCUUGCACCAGAUGACGACCGGCGCACGGGUGAGUAACGCGUAUGCAACCUGCCUGUAACUGGAGGAUAGCCCUUGGAAACGAGGAUUAAUACUGCGUAACAUUAUUGAAUCGCAUGGUUUAAUAAUCAAAUCUACGGAGGUUACAGAUGGGCAUGCGUGCCAUUAGUUAGAUGGUGAGGUAACGGCUCACCAUGACAUCGAUGGCUAGGGGUUCUGCAAGGAAGAUCCCCCACACUGGUACUGAGACACGGACCAGACUCCUACGGGAGGCAGCAGUGAGGAAUAUUGGUCAAUGGAGGCAACUCUGAACCAGCCAAGCCGCGUGAAGGAAGACUGUUCUAUGAAUUGUAAACUUCUUUUGUGGUAGAGUAAAUAUAGCUACGUGUAGUUAUUUGCAAGUAUACCAUGAAUAAGCAUCGGCUAACUCCGUGCCAGCAGCCGCGGUAAUACGGAGGAUGCAGGCGUUAUCCGGAUUUAUUAGGUUUAAAGGGUGUCUAGGCUGCCACAUAAGUCAGGGGUGAAAGUCGGUUGCUCAACAAUCGAAUUGCCUUUGAAACUGUGUGGCUCGAAUAUAGAUGAGGUAGGCGGAAUGUGUAGUGUAGCGGUGAAAUGCAUAGAUAUUACACAGAACACCAAUUGCGAAGGCAGCUUACCAAACUAUUAUUGACGCUGAGGCACGAAAGCGUGGGUAGCGAACAGGAUUAGAUACCCUGGUAGUCCACGCCGUAAACUAUGCUCACUCGCUGUUGGCAAUACAUGGUCAGCGGCUAAGGGAAACCGAUAAGUGAGCCACCUGGGGAGUACGAUCGCCAGAUUGAAACUCAAAGGAAUUGACGGGGGCCCGCACAAGCGGAGGAACAUGUGGUUUAAUUCGAUGAUACGCGAGGAACCUUACCUGG